GUGAGGAAUAUUGCGCAAUGGAGGCAACUCUGACGCAGCCAUGCCGCGUGCAGGAAGAAGGCGCUACGCGUUGUAAACUGCUUUUAACCGGGAAGAAACCCCAGGACGUGUCCUGGGUUGACGGUACCGGAGGAAUAAGCACCGGCUAACUUCGUGCCAGCAGCCGCGGUAAUACGAAGGGUGCAAGCGUUAUCCGGAUUCAUUGGGUUUAAAGGGUGCGUAGGCGGAGCGUUAAGUCAGUGGUGAAAUCCUGCAGCUUAACUGUAGACUUGCCAUUGAUACUGGCGCUCUUGAGUGCGCUUGAAGUGGGCGGAAUGUGCCGUGUAGCGGUGAAAUGCUUAGAUAUGGCACAGAACACCAAUUGCGAAGGCAGCUCACUAAGGCGAUACUGACGCUGAGGCACGAAAGCGUGGGGAUCGAACAGGAUUAGAAACCCGGGCAGUCC
RNAcentral lists this ribosomal RNA (445 nucleotides) under uncultured bacterium. RNAcentral describes it as "partial 16S ribosomal RNA". It matches the Rfam family "Bacterial small subunit ribosomal RNA", at positions 354 to 796 of the family's 1533-position model. The record is from RNAcentral.